ACUCAAAUGAAUUGACGGGGACCCGCACAAGCGGUGGAGCGUGUUGUUUAAUUCGAUGGUAAGCGAAGAACCUUACCCAGGCUUGACAUCCUUGGAAGCACUGCGAAAGCAGAGUGUGCCCUCGGGAGCCAAGUGACAGGUGUUGCAUGGCCGUCGUCAGCUCGUGUCGUGAGAUGUUUGGUUAAGUCCAUCAACGAGCGCAACCCUUUUAGUUAGUUGAAUUUCUCUAGCUAGACUGCCCCGGUAACGGGGAGGAAGGAGGGGAUGAUGUCAGGUCAGUAUUACCCUUACGUCUGGGGCUACAAACACGCUACAAUGGCCGGUACAAAGGGCUGCCAAGUCGCGAGACGGAGCAAAUCCCAUCAAAGCCGGUCUCAGUUCGGAUUGCAGGCUGAAACUCGCCUGCAUGAAGCUGGAAUCGCUAGUAACGGUAAGUCAGCACAUUACCGUGAAUACGUUCCCGGGUCUUGUACACACCGCCCGU
RNAcentral lists this ribosomal RNA (484 nucleotides) under uncultured bacterium. Its description in RNAcentral is "partial 16S ribosomal RNA". It matches the Rfam family "Bacterial small subunit ribosomal RNA", at positions 899 to 1397 of the family's 1533-position model. The record is from RNAcentral.